AGCAGCCGCGGUAAUUCCAGCUCCAAUAGCGUAUAUUAAAGUUGUUGCAGUUAAAAAGCUCGUAGUUGAAUUUUAGGCCUGGCCGGGCGGUCCGUCUUUGGCGAGUACUGUCCUGUGUCGGGUCUUCCUUCUGGUGAACCAGUAUGUCCUUUAUUGGGUGUGCCGGGGAGCCAGGACCAUUACCUUGAAAAAUUAGAGUGUUUAAAGCGGGCUUUUGCCUGAAUAGAUUAGCAUGGAAUAAUAGAAUAGGACGUUGUGGUUCUAUUUUGUUGGUUUCUAGGACCACCGUAAUGAUUAAUAGGGACAGUUGGGGGCAUUAGUAUUCAAUUGUCAGAGGUGAAAUUCUUGGAUUUAUUGAAGACUAACUAUUGCGAAAGCAUUUGCCAAGGAUGUUUUCAUUAAUCAAGAACGAAAGUUAGGGGAUCGAAGACGAUCAGAUACCGUCGUAGUCUUAACCAUAAACUAUGCCGACUAGGAAUCGGGCGACGUUAUUUCAUUGACUCGCUCGGCGCCUUAUGGG
This 520-nucleotide ribosomal RNA is filed under the name uncultured Archaeospora. RNAcentral's name for it is "SSU rRNA". It matches the Rfam family "Eukaryotic small subunit ribosomal RNA", at positions 569 to 1094 of the family's 1831-position model. The record is from RNAcentral. Lineage: Eukaryota; Fungi; Glomeromycota; Glomeromycetes; Archaeosporales; Archaeosporaceae.